Molecule: long non-coding RNA, 7806 nt
Filed under: Malus domestica (apple)
Lineage: Eukaryota; Viridiplantae; Streptophyta; Magnoliopsida; Rosales; Rosaceae
Description: long non-coding RNA (MDOM_LNC017893)
Source: RNAcentral
GAACGAAUUGAAUCCACAACUUAUGAAAUAACAACUGAAUGUAAUCGAAUCAAAUUGCAAGCAUGUACAUGGUUUCGAAUUACCCCCCAACUAAGGGGGUUUAGUUCCUCAUACUCACAACACAAAGUUUAUUGAAUUGAAACAUUGAAACAUAAGAAAGAUCACACCUAAAAAUUCCAGCAAUCUAAAUUGCACAGCAGGAACAUCUAAGAACCUUUCCUCCUCUUCCUUGGUUGCGGCACAGGGGUUUGUGUGAUGGUUUUUGGGGGUUAUGGAUGGUGUAGAAUGGUGGAAAAGUGUGUAGGAUAGGUGUAUGGGACGGCUAGGGUGGUUUUGGGUCAGAAAAUAUGGUGAAUGAUGAAGGAUAGGUGCUGUUGAAGAUGGGGAAUGGUUUCUGGCAUGAAGGAUUAAUUUCUGGAUUAUGGAGAGGGUUGUCAUUCGGCCAAGGGAGGUAAAACAUAUAUAUAUAUAGGCAGCCAAACCCUAAAGAAAUCAGAUUAGACAAAUGGGCUAGGGUUUAGGUGCGGCUAGGGUUAGGAAAUCCACCAAAAACUAGGGUUUCUAGAACAUUAGGUGCGGCAUGGGCUUAGGGUAAGUAAUCAGAUUUUUUUCAUGUGAACAAGGCCUAGGUGUGGCUGAUUAAGUGGGCUAGGGUUAGGGUUAGGUGCGGCAUAGGUCCAAGAGGCAAAGAUGGGUCAUCCAAAAGCCCAAAGCCGAGAAUAGAAACUCUCGAAAUUGGAAACCUCCAAAAAUAGAAACUUCCAACUUUAGAAACUUUGGUUGCCAAUUCCGAUUUAGGAAAGAUCAACCCAAAAUGGAAACUUUUAGGCUUAGCUUUCCUACUUCAAGUAGGAAACCUCAAAUCUCGAACUCUUCAAUUUCAACCCAACCUUGUGUUCCAAGCAUGUCCUUUUCAUUCCAAGCUCACUUUUUGCUCUAAAAGCUCCAAAUUGCAUCAUUUCAUGUAAUAUGUCCUUUAAACCUGAAAACACAUGAAAGUAGCUUAAAAGACUACUUUAACGAAGAAAACAUAACAAAGAUGCAUAAGAACUAGCUAACUAAGGCGCAUAAAUAUGCUCCUAUCAAAUUCCCCCACACUUAGCUUUUGCUAGUCCUCGAGCAAAACAAACAAAAGAAAGAAAACGAAACGAAACAAACUAACCAAAACAAACCUAAACCUUCCAACGUUUGCCUCAGGGAUUUCCAAUGCACAUGACAUGUUAAAGAUUGCUAUCCCCACAGAUUUGAGUCAUCUUUACACAAGCACAUACUUAAUUAAAGCCACCACUUACUAGUUCACAAGUAAUCAAUUAAAACAAUGCUUUUGAAUGUAGUAACAUGCCUUAGAGACUUCCCUCAAUUCCUUACAAGAUAUACACUCUAUUUUCACUCAGAUUUUCUAACUCCACACCCUACACUAGUCAUAUGUGAGAAGAUUGAUGUAGAUAUGAAAACAAAUGCUCACAUAUAUGUUUCACAAAGAACGCAAUUUCUAGAGUUAAGAAGCAUGUUUAGAUAUGAUCUCAUGAAUGGAAUGCUACUACUUAGAUGCGAGAACCAGUGACACCAUAUGCUCAUACCAAAUUCAAACUCCACAAAUUGAAACACAUAACACUCAAGGUAGAAGUUAAGGGUUGUAAUGGGGCUUAGGUUGUUGGUUAACAAGGAAAUGAUGGGGAAAACAAACGUUCUUCAAGCAAUAGUAAGCAAAGCAAUGAAAUUGAGACUUAGAAUUCACUUAGAUUGCAGAAAUUAACUUUAAAACACAAGGGGAAGACUUAAACAACUCCUUAGGGCCGAAUUCAUUGUUUUGGACCCUUACUUCAACAAACAAUACUUUGGAACUCUUUUUUUUUUUUUUUUUUUCAAACUGUUUUUUUUUUCAUACUUUUCACACUUUUUUCUUCAUUUUUUCUUUUUCCACGAAUUUUUUUUUUUUCUUUUCUUUGCCGUGCCUAUGGCACACAAUUCCUCAUGAAAAAUACUUCCCCCACACUUGGUUUCUGCCAACAUAGAUCAAAAGGAAUUCAAUUCGAAUCAUGCUUUACUAUGCUUUAAGAACAAGGGUAUGGAUGGUCCUAAACUAGGCUAGGUGAGGAUAAUGUGGGUUAACAACAACAUAGGCUAAACAAGGCUCAACGGGGUUAAAACCUACAAAACAUAAUGACAUAGGGGAUUCAUGGCUUUUUGGCUAAGGUGGUGGUCACUACACAACUUCAUCUUGAAUAUGUGUUAUGCAAAUCAAUAACAUGCUUUGAAUGAAAUGGGCAUGAGUUCUAGCAUUUGGAACUAAAUGAUGAAAUGCCUUCUAAGUAGCAACCAAGCAAGGAAUAAUGAGAUCAUGCAACGACUUAGAAAACAAAGAAUGCACAGAUUUUAACUCUCCAAAUAAGCGUUUAGGCUCAAGUCUCACAAGGUUGUAGCGUUAGUUUGAGUUCCUUCCUUCAAGCAUGUUACAAAAACUGAUUUUUUUUCUUUUAUGAUUGCAUGUGAAUUCAUAAGUUAUAACCACAACUAAGCAUAACAAAGAGUAAAUCAAACUUUCAUCCAUGUGAAUCACUCUCUUUAACAGCCAUGUAAUUACAAACCGAAUCCUCAUCAUUGUGUUGGAAGGUACCCUAAGACACAAACAAACACACAAAAACAACUCUUUUUGGGUUUUUAAAACAAAUUUUUCAAAUUUUUAUGUAAUUUUCGGAUUUUUACUUCAAAACACACUAAAACACAUCAAAACUGCUCAAAAACACUUAAAAACAGCAAGGAACAAGUCUUCAAGUUUAGGGUGAUAAAAUCCCAGGAAUUUGCAUCUAAAACACUUAGUUACCCCCCCACACUUAAAUCAAACAUUGUCCUCAAUGUUUCAAGCAUGAAAUCACACUAAACAAAAAGAAACACACAAACAGCAACUAAAACAACUAAAUAGGCAGAUUCAAAAUAAAUAACAAAGGGAAGAGUUUAGGAACGCAAAUCUGGAAUUGGGGUGAUUCCUUGGUCUUCCUCUGUUGAAUUGCAUGGGUUGCCUCCCAAGUAGCGCUUUCUUUUACGUCUUGCAGCCGGACAAUGCUCCUUUGAAGGUUAUUGAACCCCACGACAUGGAGGGGUGUUUCCUCUACACCUUGUCCUUCGAACCACUUCAUGCAUUGGGUCCUUGAAUGGAAUGGGAUAAUGAUCCUUUCGUAGUGUCGUGUUGUGCUUCUCUAAAUCAACACGAACUCUCCCACCAUAUUGACUUUGAUUAGGUACCUGCAUCGUACAAGGUAACAACCGAUUAAUUGAAAUGGGAAUUGAAAUUGGAUCAGGUGGCUUACCUAGGUGCGGCAUAGGAGUGGGAGUACAAUGGACAGAUGCACAAAGGUUGCACUCGGCCAAAUUUGGUGAUUUCAAGGUUGAGGCCGUGCAUUCUUUGUUGCUCACUCCAAUUCCCUCCUCGAUGGUAGUUCGAGGUGCAUUCUUCUUGACUAGUGUUGAACAUUCCUGCCCUAUAUUUUCAAUUACAUUAAUGGCACAACAAGAACGAACAUCAUUAGUAUUCUCAAUUGAUUCAGGAAUCUUAAAGUUAAUCAUAUCACCACCAAAGGCCAUAGUUACGGCUCCCUUGGCCACAUCAAUCUUGGUUUGAGCCGUUUUCAUGAAUGGUCGUCCAAGCAAGAGUGGUGAUGGUGGAGAGUGGGUUGAGUCCUCCAUAUCAAGCACAUAGAAAUCUGCAGGAAAAAUCAAAUGGUCUACCUGCACCAAAACAUCUUCCAACACUCUCUUGGGAUAUGCAUUAGAUCGAUCGGCUAAUUGAAUUAUAACGCCAUCAUUUUUAAGUUUUCCUAGAUUCAUAGAUGCAUAAACAGAAUAUGGCAUGACAUUAAUUGAUGCACCUAGAUCUAGCAUAGCAUGUUCAAAUCUUGUAUUACCAAUUACACAAGGGAUUGUGAAACUACCUGGAUCUUUGCAUUUAGGUGGUAGCUUCCUUUGCAACAUUGCAGAGACAUUCUCGCUUACAUGUACCACCUCCUUCUCCCUAAUCCGCUUCCUCGUUGUACAAAGCUUCUUCAAGAACUUGGCAUACUUCGGGAUUUGCUUGAUUGCAUCCAAAAGAGGUAUGUUAACUUGAACUUUCCUAAAUGUCUCUAGAACAUCUUUUUUCCUCCUCUUCAUUCUUGGAUUGCAAAAAUCUGCUAGGAAAGGGCACAUUGGGUGGAAUAAUGUUAGAAUUAACUGAACUUGGACCUUUCUUACCUAGGGUGGACGGAUUGGAGGACUUAGGAUCAAUGGUUGCUUGCGGCAAAGGUUGCUCCACCUUUGCCGUGGGUUGCUUUGGGUUUUCCUCUCCAGAUUUCAACGUUUCAUCUUCUUUGGGACCUGAUUUUGGUGGUGUAGGACCUGCCCCAACUUCUUUUCCACUCCUUAGCAUGAUUGCAUUUGCGGUUUCAAAGCCUCCCUUUGGAUUUGGAAUGGUGGAACUAGGGAGUUGUCCGGGAUCUCGAAACUUACCUACAAACUCGGCAAUCUGCCCAAUUUGUUUCUCAAGUUGAUCCACCCUUCUGUCUUGGUUUUGCAUAGCUUUAGCUUGAUCUUCCUGCCCAUUAGACAACUUAGUUAGUAUCUUAAGAAGUGCAUCAAUGUCAAGAGACGUACCUGAGGCACUUGGGCCGGAUUGGGCUUGAUUUUGGGGUGGGCCGUAAGUUUUGGGAAAGAACCCCGGGGGUUGUUGCCUAAAGCCUCCUUGGUUUUGAGGUUGUUGGGGCUCCCUCCACUUGAAAUUUGGGUGAUCUCUCCAACCGGGAUUAUAUGUGUUUGAAUAUGGAUCGUUCCUUGGUUGGUUUUGCCCUUGAAACCCAAUUGCAUGGGCGCUUUCCCAUCCACCAUUUUCAAUCAACUGUGGACAUUUUUCAGAGACAUGUCCUUGGAUGGAACAUACGCCACAUACAGUUGGUCCUUGCAUCUUCAUGCCCUCGGCCAUCUGAGACACAAGAGAAGUAAGAUUAGCCAAUUGUGAAUGAAGAUUGGAAGUCGAACUUACCUCAUGUACUUGGUGCCGUGGGGGUCCUCUUUGGCCUACACCCUCGUACUGUUGAGCGUUCAACGCUCUAUUAGCAAUCAAGACCUUGGCAGCCAUGGGUGUUUUGUCCACCAAUGCUCCCCCCGCCGAAGCAUCAAGCAUUUGACGUUCUAGAGGUAGGAGACCCUCGUAGAAGUAUUGCAAAAGCAACUCCUCCUUCAUCUGAUGCUGUGGACAAGAAGCAACAAGUGAUUUAAAUCGUUCAUAAUAUGUAGGAAAAGACUCACCUUCCUCUUGCUGAAUUCCACUUAUCUUUUUGCGUAGGAGGAUGAUGCGAGAAGUUGGAAAGAACUUCUCCAAGAACGCUCUUUUCAUACUCUCCCAAGAAGUGACAGUGCCGGGAGCUAACUCGUAUAACCAAUCCUUGGCUUUAUCCAUCAAAGAGAAUGGAAAAGCCUUCAUCUUCAAGAUAUUUCCGUCAACAUUGACGGGAGUCAUACUAGAGCAAACUACUUCAAAUUCUUUCAAAUGUUUGUUAGGAUCUUCCAUGGACAAGCCAUGGUAUUUAGGAAUAUGAUGAAGCAAACUUGACUUUAAUUCAAACUCAUCCGUCUUACCUUGGGCAUCCAUGGGGUAUUGAAUGCACAAGGGUGCGGCAUUAUCCAAACCUGAGGCGGAAAGCUCCUUGAGUGUACGAUUGUCCAUGGCCAUGCCUUGGACUUCUUCAAAUAUCCCUGCCGUGGCUUCCUCCUCCUCUUCUUGUACGUUUUCUUCAAGGUCAGAUUCGGAAUUGGGUGGAUGGUGUUCUUGCUGGUUUCUAGCUCUUCUUAACUUCCUCUCAAAAUCGUCGUCAAAAUCCAAGACGUUUGCACGAAUCGGUUGAGAGCUUCUAGUCAUACAUUAGUACCUAAGAAACAAGAAACAAAAUUAGGUCAGAAACUUAAACAAAGUCAGAAACAAAGUGAAAUAAAAGAAACAAAAACAAUCCAAGGGAUUAGCAAAAUUGCUAAUCCCCGGCAACGGCGCCAAAAAUUUGAUGCGAAAUAGAUAAGCACACAAAUUAAACCCUCUUUUUGUCAAAUUGUAGCAAAGAUGUAAGUAGGGAUCGUUCUAAACCGGGGAUUAGGAGGGAUUGCUAAACACUUGGAAACUGACUUAAAAACUCAAAAACAAAGUUUAAAACACUAAACUAGACUCAAAGAAUGCAAAAGUAAAGGUUAAAACACUUAAACAAACCUAAAACUCAAAACAGCAACUAGAAGGCUCAAAACUGCCUAAAAACCACUUUCUGGGCAGUUUUGAGCACCUACACUAAUUUGGACGAAAUUUGAUGAAAACUUGAAUCAAAAUACUUAGAAACACAAAUCAAAAUACUUUCUAACUAAUCUAAGACUUCAAAUGAGAGGGGGAUUUGUUUUGGACGAAAAUUUAACACAAAACAGAAACUUUAAUUAGCACAGAUUGUAAAAACGAUUUUGGUGAAAUAGAUGGAUAAAAGGCUAGUUAGGAGGUUCUUCUCCACACAUGUCACACUUGCAAACAAAACGAUUUUCAGUUGUUCUUCCAAUAAAUUAUAAAUACUCAACGCCCCAGAUUAACCGUGAAUUGCACUAAUUAACCCUCAGUUUUUCCACAAGUUAUUAAGUUGGAUGAUUGCAUACGACAACCCAAAACAUUCCCUACAAGUUCCCUACAUGAAUUGCAUAAUAGAGAUACAAGCAAGAAUCAUUACGUUCUAUGAAAAACAUAAGCAUUGACGAAGCAUUUGUUACUAUGAAUUGCAUGAAACUUAUGCUAAGAAUUCAUUCAACGCGAUCGUUUUCAAGCGAUCUUCACUACUUGUGAUUAUAAGAUUGUAACUAUUAGGUGAAACUCCCUCAUAAUCUAGCAUCAUAUUCAUGCAUGAAAACUAAGCGUGCACUCUCAAUCAACAUACAUAAAUAAGUUUAUCAAUCAAAUAGAUGAACGAAUUGAAUCCACAACUUAUGAAAUAACAACUGAAUGUAAUCGAAUCAAAUUGCAAGCAUGUACAUGGUUUCGAAUUACCCCCCAACUAAGGGGGUUUAGUUCCUCAUACUCACAACACAAAGUUUAUUGAAUUGAAACAUUGAAACAUAAGAAAGAUCACACCUAAAAAUUCCAGCAAUCUAAAUUGCACAGCAGGAACAUCUAAGAACCUUCCUCCUCUUCCUUGGUUGCGGCACAGGGGUUUGUGAUGGUUUUUGGGGGUUAUGGAUGGUGUAGAAUGGUGGAAAAGUGUGUAGGAUAGGUGUAUGGGACGGCUAGGGUGGUUUUGGGUCAGAAAAUAUGGUGAAUGAUGAAGGAUAGGUGCUGUUGAAGAUGGGGAAUGGUUUCUGGCAUGAAGGAUUAAUUUCUGGAUUAUGGAGAGGGUUGUAAUUCGGCCAAGGGAGGUAAAACAUAUAUAUAUAGGCAGCCAAACCCUAAAGAAAUCAGAUUAGACAAAUGGGCUAGGGUUUAGGUGCGGCUAGGGUUAGGAAAUCCACCAAAAACUAGGGUUUCUAGAACAUUAGGUGCGGCAUGGGCUUAGGGUAAGUAAUCAGAUUUUUUUCAUGUGAACAAGGCCUAGGUGUGGCUGAUUAAGUGGGCUAGGGUUUAGGGUUAGGUGCGGCAUAGGUCCAAGAGGCAAAGAUGGGUCAUCCAAAAGCCCAAAGCCGAGAAUAGAAACUCUCGAAAUUGGAAACCUCCAAAAAUAGAAACUUCCAACUUUAGAAACUUUGGUUGCCAAUUCCGAUUUAGGAAAGAUCAACCCAAAAUGGAAACUUUUAGGCUUAGCUUUCCUACUUCAAGUAGGAAAC